GUUAAGCGACUAAGCGUACACGGUGGAUGCCCUGGCAGUCAGAGGCGAUGAAGGACGUGCUAAUCUGCGAUAAGCGUCGGUAAGGUGAUAUGAACCGUUAUAACCGGCGAUUUCCGAAUGGGGAAACCCAGUGUGAUUCGUCACACUAUCAUUAACUGAAUCCAUAGGUUAAUGAGGCGAACCGGGGGAACUGAAACAUCUAAGUACCCCGAGGAAAAGAAAUCAACCGAGAUUCCCCCAGUAGCGGCGAGCGAACGGGGAGCAGCCCAGAGCCUGAAUCAGUGUGUGUGUUAGUGGAAGCGUCUGGAAAGGCGCGCGAUACAGGGUGACAGCCCCGUACACAAAAAUGCACAUACUGUGAGCUCGAUGAGUAGGGCGGGACACGUGGUAUCCUGUCUGAAUAUGGGGGGACCAUCCUCCAAGGCUAAAUACUCCUGACUGACCGAUAGUGAACCAGUACCGUGAGGGAAAGGCGAAAAGAACCCCGGCGAGGGGAGUGAAAAAGAACCUGAAACCGUGUACGUACAAGCAGUGGGAGCCUCUUUAUGGGGUGACUGCGUACCUUUUGUAUAAUGGGUCAGCGACUUAUAUUCUGUAGCAAGGUUAACCGAAUAGGGGAGCCGAAGGGAAACCGAGUCUUAACUGGGCGUUAAGUUGCAGGGUAUAGACCCGAAACCCGGUGAUCUAGCCAUGGGCAGGUUGAAGGUUGGGUAACACUAACUGGAGGACCGAACCGACUAAUGUUGAAAAAUUAGCGGAUGACUUGUGGCUGGGGGUGAAAGGCCAAUCAAACCGGGAGAUAGCUGGUUCUCCCCGAAAGCUAUUUAGGUAGCGCCUCGUGAAUUCAUCUCCGGGGGUAGAGCACUGUUUCGGCAAGGGGGUCAUCCCGACUUACCAACCCGAUGCAAACUGCGAAUACCGGAGAAUGUUAUCACGGGAGACACACGGCGGGUGCUAACGUCCGUCGUGAAGAGGGAAACAACCCAGACCGCCAGCUAAGGUCCCAAAGUCAUGGUUAAGUGGGAAACGAUGUGGGAAGGCCCAGACAGCCAGGAUGUUGGCUUAGAAGCAGCCAUCAUUUAAAGAAAGCGUAAUAGCUCACUGGUCGAGUCGGCCUGCGCGGAAGAUGUAACGGGGCUAAACCAUGCACCGAAGCUGCGGCAGCG
This 1166-nucleotide ribosomal RNA is filed under the name Escherichia coli. RNAcentral describes it as "partial 23S ribosomal RNA". It matches the Rfam family "Bacterial large subunit ribosomal RNA", at positions 1 to 1210 of the family's 2925-position model. Lineage: Bacteria; Pseudomonadati; Pseudomonadota; Gammaproteobacteria; Enterobacterales; Enterobacteriaceae. The record is from RNAcentral.